Molecule: ribosomal RNA, 2181 nt
Filed under: Aculops sp. GX47
Lineage: Eukaryota; Metazoa; Arthropoda; Arachnida; Trombidiformes; Eriophyidae
Description: partial small subunit ribosomal RNA
Rfam family: Eukaryotic small subunit ribosomal RNA
Source: RNAcentral
UGUAAAGUUCAAGCUCCGAUAUGUGAGGGCGAAACCGCGAAUGGCUCAUUAAAUCAGUCAUAAUCUACUUGAUUGUUAGAGGUUAUAUGGAUAACUGUGGUAAUUCUAGAGCUAAUACAUGCCGAGGAGGGUGACUUGGUUGUGGCAACACAGUCAAGAAGCCCCGCGUUUAUUAGACUAAGACCAAUGUGCUUCGGCACUAAUUUUUGGUGACUCUGAGUAAAUAACGGGUGUAAGCCCGUGCAGCCGACCUGGCACUCAACUCCGCAAGGAGGCCAGGCGAAUCAAUCGAGUGUCUGCUCUAUCAACUGUGGAUGGUAGGGUAAUUGCCUACCAUGGUGAUGACGGGUAACGGGGAGUUAGGGCUCGACUCCGGAGAACAAGCCUGAGAAACGGCUAGUAGGACUAAGGUCUGCAGCAGGCGCGAAACUUACACAAUGCUAGAUUAUAAGUUAGCGAUGUAGUGAAGAAAAAUAACGAUGUGCUUGCAUUUAAACAUGCUUGCACAAUUGGAAUGAGACGACUCUAAACCGGUCAGUCGAGUAACAAAUGGAGGGCAAGUCUGGUGCCAGCAGCCGCGGUAAUUCCAGCUCCAUUAGCAUACAUUAAAGUUGUUGCGGUUAAAAAGCUCGUAGUUGAAUGUAGUGGUUGUUGUGUUGGUGGGUUGGCGUUAAGCGGACUUCGGUUCGUGUCAGCCUCACGAACAGAGCAGCUAGUUUCGUCACUUAAUCGAGUGCGAAGCGGGGUGGGUUAGCAUACUUCGGUAUGCCAGUUCACCAAGUUUACCUUGAGAAAAUCAGAGUGCUCAGAGCAGGCAGUUGGGGCCUAAAAACCUCUUUAUGCUUGAAUGAUGUUGCAUGGAAUAAUAGAAUACGGCCUCGGUUCUAUUCUGUUGGUCUUAUAGAACAACAAACAAGUUGGUGUUGUCACUAACGUUGCUGGCUGGUGUGUCCUGGCUGGACUUGUUGUCUGCGGGUAAAACCGCAGUACCAACCAGCCUUGACGCAAAAAGCAUCAACCAGCGGCAGACAAUCCACCAACUGAGGCAAUGGUUAAAAGAAAUAGUCGCGGCGGCAUCAGUACUGCAUCGUGAGAGGUGAAAUUCUUAGACCGAUGCAAGACUAACUGAAGCGAAAGCGUUUGCCGAGGAUAUUUUCAUUAAUCAAGAACGAAAGUUAGAGGUUCGAAGGCGAUCAGAUACCGCCCUAGUUCUAACCAUAAACGUUGCCAACUAGCAAUUGGGUUGCGAUUCCUUUAGUGGGCGCCUAAAAAACGUCCACCAUUAUGAUCCACCCAGCGGCUCUCGUAGGGAAACCAAAGUGUUUGGGUUCCGGGGGAAGUAUGAUUGCAAAGUUGAAACUUAAAGGAAUUGACGGAAGGGCACCACCAGGAGUGGAGCCUGCGGCUUAAUUUGACUCAACACGGGGAAACUUACUAGAUUAGAACUCUGGAAUGAUUGACAGAUUGAUAGCUCUUUCUUGAUUCAGAGGAUGGUGGUGCAUGGCCGUUCUUGAUUCGUAUUCCGAAACGUCUGCUUAAUUGCGAUAACGAGUGAGACCUCACCCAACUAACUAGUGCGCGGUUGCGAUGUUGGGGCACUAAAGGUGUAGGUGGGUUUUGUGUCGGUUGGUGGCAACAUCGGCUGGCAUGCCGCUUGCAUCGCUCUCUUCUCGACCCGUGACUUCUUAGAGGGAUAAACGGUGUUUUAGCCGUAAGAAACGAGGCAAUAACAGGUCUGUGAUGCCCUUAGAUAUUCUAGGCCGCACGCGUGCUACAAUGGCGUGUGCAGAGAGCUUGUUCGAGGUUCGUCCGGAGAGAACUAGUGGUUUGGGUUCAGGCGGGGCAACUCGUUUGGGCUCGACCGCCAAGUGACUCCGGUUAGCGGGCCGAGAGAAACCGCGGCCGAAAGGUCGCGGCAAUCAGAAAUACACGCCGUGAUUUGGGAUUGGGGAUUGCAAUUGUUGCCCAUGAACGAGGAAUUCCCAGUAAGCGCGAUUCAUCAUAUCGCGUUGAUUACGUCCCUGCCCUUUGUACACACCGCCCGUCGCUACUACCGAUUGGAAGUUUUAGUGAGGCAUCUGGACUCGCCGGCCACGGGAGGAGCAAUCCUCCUCGGCCUGGAGGGGAAGUUUGUCGAACUCAAAUUUCUAGAGGAAGUAAAAGUCGUAACAAGGUUUCCGU